This 428-nucleotide ribosomal RNA is filed under the name Chloroflexota bacterium. RNAcentral's name for it is "Chloroflexi bacterium partial 16S ribosomal RNA". It matches the Rfam family "Bacterial small subunit ribosomal RNA", at positions 355 to 776 of the family's 1533-position model. The record is from RNAcentral. Lineage: Bacteria; Bacillati; Chloroflexota.
UGGGGAAUAUUGCACAAUGGGCGCAAGCCUGAUGCAGCCAUGCCGCGUGUGUGAAGAAGGCCUUCGGGUUGUAAAGCACUUUCAGCGGGGAGGAAGGCGUUAAGGUUAAUAACCUUGGCGAUUGACGUUACCCGCAGAAGAAGCACCGGCUAACUCCGUGCCAGCAGCCGCGGUAAUACGGAGGGUGCAAGCGUUAAUCGGAAUUACUGGGCGUAAAGCGCACGCAGGCGGUCUGUCAAGUCGGAUGUGAAAUCCCCGGGCUCAACCUGGGAACUGCAUUCGAAACUGGCAGGCUAGAGUCUUGUAGAGGGGGGUAGAAUUCCAGGUGUAGCGGUGAAAUGCGUAGAGAUCUGGAGGAAUACCGGUGGCGGAGGCGGCCCCCUGGACAAAGACUGACGCUCAGGUGCGAAAGCGUGGGAGCAAACAGG